Molecule: transfer RNA, 65 nt
Filed under: Luciosoma bleekeri
Lineage: Eukaryota; Metazoa; Chordata; Actinopteri; Cypriniformes; Danionidae
Description: tRNA-Cys
Source: RNAcentral
GGCCUCGUGGUGAGUUCACGUUAGGUUGCAAACCUAAAGACGCAGACUACCGUUUGCCUGGGCUU